UUUUAAUUAUGCAGCUAGCAGUUAUGUUACUUCACACAUAACAUUGAUUAUUGUCCCCUCAUUGAACUCCAAAUUCCCUUCCAGAAGUGUUUGAAAAGAUGUUUUCUUUAAAGAUAUUCUUUUCCCUGAUUUGAAGACCAAUUUCCUUUGUGUUCUCCUUGGCUUAGGGCUAGAUUUGUCUGCAAACAGAUACUUUCGUGCUGUAGUAACAGAGAUUUAACAGAUAUUUCUCUUUUGAACAUCGGCUAUAAGGGUUACAUUGUACUUACUUUUCAGAUGUAAUUUCCUGAAAGGUUUUUGCAAAAACUACACUCGUGGAACCAACUUGCCUUCUCUUUGGUUGUCAAACUUGCGUCAUGUGAGUCUACUGAAGGCAUUUUUUUGGUCUGUAGUGAAACAAAGAGUACAGAGUGUAUGUAUUCUUUACCUUUCAAACCCUUGUUUAUUUGUCCAAACCAACUGCUUUACCUUGAAUCAUAUGUUCUUGUAAAGUACUGAAUAUUUCAUCUGAGAAUUUUGAUUGACUGGGAAUCAGGGUUGGUGCAGGGCUGAUGUUAUCUGUUGGUUGUAUCACUUGCUGAUAAUAUUUGCUUCCUCAUCAAAGGUCACAAUUACUUGAGGCUUUAGUGACAUAUUCAAUAAACUUUGUAACUUACAUUGAAAAGUGUGACUUGGGUCGUAGCAAAAGGUUAAACUGGACUCAAGUUGGAUCUGCAAAGGGAUGUCUCAUACAAUCAUAUGGUUUGUUGCAAUGUGUGAAUUGCAACCAUUUUGUGAAAUGAGUUUCAAGGGUUUAUUUAUGCACCAGUAUUGCCAACAAAGCUGUUAGUAGUCAUAAUAAAUAAGCAACAAAGCAAGCUGAUCUGCAAUCAACAACUGUUUGAGAGGCACAAAGUAAAAUAUUUUCAGUUCUUAGGUUAGUAGUUGUUGUCAGAUGCCUCUGCAUUGUUCUUUGUUAAAUUGCAGUGGAAGCAAACAAAAAAAAAUUGCUCAUGUUUUGAAGAAAAUUAUAUGUACAAUAUGAUAUUUGGUAAAAAGAUGCAGUUGUCAAAGAAAAAAAUAUAUACCAUAUUUAAAUUGUAUUGACCCAUUUAAUUGUUAGAGACCAAGUUCCCAAAGCUGGCAUCAGAGUUUAUGACAGCAUUAAGUGCAUCGGUUGUUAGCAUUCAGGGCCAGGUUGUUUGAAAAGUGGUUUGUGAUAAUCUGGGAUUAAAGUUCAACUUGUCCUUGAUUUCUCUUGUGAUAGAGUGCAUAUUAGUACUUACAUUUUGAGGAGUUUUACCCAUGUGAGACAACACUGGAGGAAAUUUAUUAACAAUUAAGACUGAUUGCAAAGCUUCAAAACUAAAUAAAAAAUUGUUGGCUAACCUUUAGUUAGCUUAACAAUGCAGCCCAGAUUAUUAAAACAGCUUAACAAGAUAAGGACUUUCAUUUUUAGACAUCUUUCAAGAUAUACUUCAAUCAAGGGGUUGUUCUGGUGAUGAAUGGAUGGCAUUUUGCUGUAUUAAGCAUUCAAAAUCAAAGUUCAUGCAAAUUUAUUGCAAACAACUUGGGCACAUAAAAGCAUGUCAAUUUUUUUUGGACAUCUAAUUUUGAUUUGGUGUGGGAUCAGUCAAAAGAUCAGUUUAAAAACAAUUUGGGCAAGUUAUAUUGAAAAUCCAUUUCACUGAGUUUUAAAUUUUGUUUGGUAUUGGACUAGUAAAACGAUCUUUUAACAACAUUUCAAAAUCUUUUAAUUUCAUGUGGAAGAGGAGUACAAAAAAUUUAAUUGAACAAUUUAAACAGAGGCUUUCAGGCCUGUGCCUUAUGUUUUAAAAAAAUACAUCCAAAUUCUAAUCCAACAAAGAAAGCAGCAGAUUUCCUAGGUGUGUUUCACCAAAGUGAAACGGUGUACCAUUGGAUGUUACAGCCUGGAAAGAGCAAGGUAUGUGAGUGACUUGAGUAAAGUACUGGUAAAGAUCAGCAGUUUAUAAUUUUAAGACAGUAUGUUAUGAAAGCAAGUACAGCGUACACUUUAGAAGCAAAGUAAGCAGUGGUCAGCUUAUUUGCUGAUCCUUAAGCCAUGGAUACAGUUAGGUAAACUUAAAUUUUUACAUCUUUUAGUACUUCUUGAGAUAUUAAUAAAAAUUUAUUAACAGAAGUACGCAAAAGCAGCUGCACCAAGUUGAAUUAAUCAUUGUACUACCUAAGUGGCAUUAGUUUGGGUAAGACAUUUUCUGCUCACAGUGUUUUUGUUUUUACCAAUUCCCUUAUUUUCAUGGAUUCUAAAGAUGCUGUAACCAGAAGUUAGAGAACACUUUUUUGAUUUAACCUGAGGAAGAGUUGUUGGAUGAAUCUCUUGUUCCAUGUAACUAAGUUUUUUUAGAAUGUUUAGUGGGUAUGCAUCUCCUAUAUCACAACCAACCAUAGUUGAUGGCAAUUGUUUCUGAGUUGUGUUUAAGUGUAAAAUGAACUUGCUGAAUUUGGUCACCUUUUAUUUUAUCGAUUGAACAUUUUCAAUUGUUAUUCUUAUGUUUAGUUUUGGUAAUUCCUGAAAACUUACUCGGCAAAUCUUAUGCUCUGUGUAUGAAGUUCAAGCAUUGUUGUUAGCUACCACUAGUAGUCAUCGGCAUUAUCUUAUAUGCGGUAAGCAGCGUAAUUCAAUUAUUGCCCCUCGCUGGGGAAAGAAUUUGAAAAAAGUUGCAGAUAUUCAAGUGAACCUUCGUUGACUGGUGUUGAAUGGCAUAUCUGCCGAUGUGAUGCACAUAACAGCUGAAGCUUAUUGGUGUCAUUUGAAGAGUGCAGUAACUUCAAACAGAGAUUGAAAUUGUAACUUACCCAGCUAUGGGGGGAUUUCCUGUCAUUAUUGUGUGUGGUUACAAAGUUGAAGGUUUACUGCCCCACAUGGCAGAGCAAGGAAUACCGAGUUGAGAGUUGAUUCACCAUCAAUUUGUAAGCCCAAUUUUUGGAAGAGUUACAGAUUAAAGCUAGGGAACCAAGGGGAACAAAAGUCACCAAAGUUUUGACAGCACAGAGAACAAAUUAUGUGCGUUCAAACAGAUAUUUCGACAGCACAAGGAGUAAAUGAGGAAUGGCUUCAUUUGUUUUUACAUUUGGUCGUUGUAAAUUUAGCAGCUAGAUUCCAUCUUGCCAUGCAUUUGUUC
This is an unclassified non-coding RNA of Pocillopora damicornis (cauliflower coral), 3143 nucleotides long. NCBI's taxonomy places the organism in Eukaryota, Metazoa, Cnidaria, Anthozoa, Scleractinia, Pocilloporidae. The record is from RefSeq and is a predicted model, not a curated record.